GCCAGUGUGGCAUAGUGGUUUGAGCAUUGGACUAGGACUCUGGAGACCAGGGUUCCAAUCCCAGCUUGGGCA
Molecule: non-coding RNA, 72 nt
Organism: Phrynosoma platyrhinos (Desert horned lizard)
Lineage: Eukaryota; Metazoa; Chordata; Lepidosauria; Squamata; Phrynosomatidae
Source: the annotation of a GenBank genome assembly